UUUAAUAACUAAUUGAGGAAAAGGCACACAGAUAUCUGGAAGAAAAUACUACACAGGCUGUUUAAUAGAGCCAGCUAACUAAACUUGUAGUACUCAUGGCUGAGUACCAACCAGGCACGCAGGGCAUGUGCCCUGACCUCCAGAGGGCCCCCACUGAUGUUGUUAGUCAUUCUCACUCGAUACCAUUAUUAGAGUACUUAUUAUUAGAGUACCUUUCCUCUGGCACCACAGAGGAAAGGAGGUGAAAAACUCAGUCUUCAGCCAAAUGGGUGGGGCGUCAGUCUUCUCUUUCGUGUCUGAAAGUGACCUCGUCAAUCGCAUCAUGGGACGUGAGAAGACUCGCCUUUGAUCUGACAGAGAGGAUGGGAAUCAAGCACAGGUUCAUCAAAGGAAAGGGGUAUGCAUGGGUGGAUUGGUUCAGUUGCUUAAUGAAGCGCAACCCUCAACUGUCAGUUUGAGUAUUGCAAGCAACCAGUCUUGCGAGGGCCGUGGGCUUUAAUAAACUUAAGGUUGACCAGUUUUUUUAUGGCCUACAAGGACAUUUUAAACAGCAUCAGGGACAUCGGGAAAACAAAGAUUUGGAACAUGGACAAAAGUCCAGAAACUGUUGCCUGUGGUGGCCACCGAGGGAACAAAACGUGUUGCAUGGUUGACCAGCGCAGAGUGGCUUCACAGUCACAGUCAUUUGUGCUAUCAGUGUAGCGAGGCAGUACGUACUGCCCCUCUUCAUCUUCCCUCGGAAGAGGAUGAACGAACAGCUGCUGGUUGGAGCACCUGCACAGCCCGUUGGAAGGGUGAGUGACUCAGGCUGAGUCGACAGUACCAUCUUUGUCGACUGGCUCCACAAUUUCAGCCAUAGUGUUGGUUGCACCCCUGAGGAACCCCACAUCCUCAUCCUCGAUGAACACCACUCCCAUAAGACCCCGGAGGCUGUUCUGACAGCAAGAGGCUGUCACAAAAUGCAGCCGUUAGACCGUACCAUUUUCAAGGGUCUGAUCCUUUUACAACAGGGCAGCAGAUCAGUGGAUGACGAUGCAUCCUGGGAAAAGGAUAUGUAUAUACCAAAUGGCUAGACUCUUCACAAAGAUCUAUAACAAGGUGGCCAGUGUGGAGAGAGGAGUGGAGGCCUUCUGGGCCAGUGGGCUGUGGCCUUUGGAGAAGGACAUCUUCACAGAGGCAGACCUCAUGGUCACUGAGGUUAUAGAGGAGCCAGAGCCCAUUGCCAGAAUCCAUUCAACCACAGUGCUCUACCGCUGCCACCGAUGCAGCUACCAGCUCUACCACCGCCACCACUACAGCCACCAUCACUAGCUCUACCUACACCGCCACCAGCUCUAACGCCAAAACCUCUACCUCCACCACAUCUACUUCCGCCACAACCUCCACCGUGCAGCCUACCCUUGCUCCAAAUGUUGCAGUUCUAUUGGAGUUGUGGCCGAGGCUCCAGGAGGCGAGGCAGAGGAAGAGGAAGGCAGAGUCUGCAGCUGUAUUGACAGCCUCACCUUACAAAAGGUUGCUGGAGGAAAAUGCUCGACAGAAACAUCAACAAGAAGAAAAGAGAGAGAGAGUAAGAAAACAAAUCAGGUUCUUCAAAGAAGGUUGGUGCAACACAACAAGCCACAUCAGCCACCAAAGAAGGGGGUGCGGAGGGUCUUUUCCGUGAGGUGCUGGUUUCAGUCACAGGUGGGGACUGGAUUAGGUGUGAGAACUGCAGGAGGUGGGCUCAUGGGUUGUGCAAUAGCAGAGCAAAAGAGAUGUAACAUCAAUGUUACACUGAAUUGGUUAACUUAUGAUUUAUUGUUAUUAAAUGUUAUAUUCCAGUGUUAUUUCAUGUUAUUAGUUAUAUUCCAUUCCAAUAUUAUAUUCCAAUUAAUAUAUUUAUUUUUAAUGAAUUUAAAAAAAGCUAUUGAAAACCUUUUGCUCCUGAAUGUCAAUUUAAAGACUGCAGGGAUUUAAAAUCUUGCAUUAUUCCAAUACUAUUUAGUGAAAUUGUACAUAAUGGAUUGUAAGAAAAAGAAGCAACAAUGAAAGAACAAAGAAAAUGAAUGUGCAGGUGAGUUAAAAAGAGGGACUUUACAUCAAAUCUACUCAUAGUGCAGAUAUUAAUAGUGACAUGUGUAACACAAUUUACACCAAUAUUUUUUUUAAAUCAUUAAAAUAAGGCAGCUAGAUUUAGCUUUUAAGUAUUACUUACUAAAUCAUUUCUAAAUAAAACUGAUUAAAUUGAUUUUAACACAGUUGUGUGAAACUCUAUGCCAUAAUCUUCUACUCGGGGGGCAGUUACCCCGGUACUUAAAAAACACCCCUAUCUAAAAACAACAUUUCAUGAAAUAACUUAAAAAGUGUUUAUUUAACUUUAUAUUUUAUUUGCCUUAGCAUGACCUUCAUAGGUUUAAAUGCACAUACCAAAAUUUUAUUUUUUUGUGUCAGCAAUUCAACAUUGUUCUUAGGGGGUGCUAGUUACCCCCUAGUACCCUAACAUGGCAUGGAUCAUUCCACCAAUUCUGGGCCUUUUGAGAAGUGUAAAUUCGCCUCAUUUUAACAUUCGGUCAUAAAAAGAGCACAUGAUCAACUUGACUAUCAUAAGUGCCUAUUAAGUACCAAAUAAAGUAAGAGGGUUGCAUGUAACAGGGUUGAACAUUUCUUCUUAAAUCAACCAUACAUCUCCUUGUGACAGGGUGAAUCGAAGCAUGUUGUGUGCUAAAGGGAGUGGCAAGCUUCACCCAAAAAAAUGAAAUUAUUAAAACAUUUCUAGUCUGUCUAUCUGCAUAUACGCAGACUCAGCAUCAUUCAAAUAACGGAGUUUGAUACACCUGGUAUUGGAUAUGACUGAAAAUAAAUGUGCUAAAUGAGGGACAAAUGUAAAUGAAUCACUAAUAAUCUCAUUAAAUACAGUGCAUUAGGAAAGUAUUCAGACCCCUUCACUUUUUUCCACAUUUUGUUACGCUACAGCCUCAUUCUAAAAUGGAUGAAAAUAUUUUUCCCUCAUCAAUCCCUCAACACACAAUACCCCAAAAGGACAUAGUGAAAACAUUUUUUUUUUGUAGUAACAUAGUAUAUGGGAUUGAUUUUAAGAAAUUUGGUUUAAUUCAUUUGAUUAAUAUUAUGGUGUUUCUAUUCAGAGAAAAACAAAACCCUCAAGGUUUCUGUUAGGAUGGCAUGGAAAAUAUGGCACUGUACAACGCGACGUUCGGGGAAUAGGCUACAGGAUUGGAGGUUUCUAAAAUGUUUGCCUUCAUUACACAACCUUGUUCCAAUAUUUCUGUAAAUCAGUGAUAUUUAUUCCCAUAGUAAUUCGUUAUGGAUCCAUAACUAAAUCAACAUCUGCAUUUUGAAAGAGUAUUUUUUCAUCAUUAUUUUAUUAAUGAAAUGUGUAUUUGUUUAUUAGGCUACUGUGCAGUCUACAAUACAUACUGUAGUAAACAUGGGAAGGUGCCUAAUUCCUUACAUAAGGGAGAGCAGGCCAUGUCUGUACUACAGACAUGUGGUCCUUCUGUAGCUCAGUUGGUAGAGCAUGGCGCUUGUAACGCCAGGGUAGUGGGUUCGUUUCCCGGGACCACCCAUACGUAGAAUGUAUGCACACAUGACUGUAAGUCGCUUUGGAUAAAAGCGUCUGCUAAAUGGCAUAUAUUAUAUUAUUAUUAUUACAGAAUGCAGGGCA
Oncorhynchus keta (chum salmon) is the source of this 3661-nucleotide long non-coding RNA. RefSeq lists it as uncharacterized. The record is from RefSeq and is a predicted model, not a curated record. Lineage: Eukaryota; Metazoa; Chordata; Actinopteri; Salmoniformes; Salmonidae. The transcript has 3 exons.